Globicephala melas (long-finned pilot whale) is the source of this 6985-nucleotide long non-coding RNA. RefSeq lists it as uncharacterized. The record is from RefSeq and is a predicted model, not a curated record. NCBI's taxonomy places the organism in Eukaryota, Metazoa, Chordata, Mammalia, Artiodactyla, Delphinidae.
AAUAAGGCCCGGCUGGGCCCGACGCGCGUGCGCGCGGGCGAGGGCGGGGCCGGAGGUGGGUGCUUCUGCCCGUUAGCUGGGCGGCUGCUCCGCGCCCCGCCCGCUGGCUCACCUGCCGGGACUGGCCGACAUACCCGCUCGGCGCGAAAUUCCCGGGGAGAGGGUGCGUAGGGGGACGCGCUUAGGGUUGGCGACAAAGGUGAGUGACCUGCCCGCGUGUGCAAAGGGUCUCCCCAGAGGCAGGCGGGAAGGCUGCCCCGGGAGUCGUACAGUCCGAAUCCUGCGAUUAGCAUGGCUUAUUUUUGUAGCAAGCGUUAAAAACGGCUUUAAACAUCCUCACUUCUGGAUCCGCGCGGCUCCCCCCAGUGUUCCUGUGUCGACCCCCAGCCGCGCUCCCCUGUGCUGUAGUCACUGGCCACGUGUGCUCAUUUCAAUUUACGUUAACUGAAGUUAAAAUUCAGUUCCUGCGCUAUCACAGAGGCAUUAAAAGCCACCCUGAUGAAGGGUUAGGAACGCCCUGAAAACGCUCUUUUUUAAUGGCUGGAGUGCAAAGUCCCUGCGUUUUCCAGAACGUGGGAAGGUUAGCAUCACUCAGCUUUCCUGGAGUUCCUUUGACUUGGGAGAGAGUACAAACAGGCCUUGCUGUUUGAUUGAAAGGUGCAUUGGGGGCCCAGGGGGUGGUGAGUGGGGUCACCUGCCCUGCCCAGGCCGGGGCACUUGUGAGGCAUCCUGUUCCUGCCCCAGGACUCCUGGAGGAAGCGCUGCAGCCGUGGUGGCGUUGGGCACAUCCCCACAUCUCCCUGUGCUCUGUCUCCCCACCUGCACCGGGCAGUCAGGGGGACCCAGAGGGUGGCUGAGGCUGGCUGUUCUCAGACCAGGGAAGGCACGUACGAAGUUUCCUCGUGUGUGGUGUCACUGCUCUGGCAGCUGGCAGCUGCGGGAGACUCCGGUGCCCAGUGAAAGGCUGCGGGGUCUGCGGAUGCUCCCUCAGGAGACAGAGAAAGCAGAAAACAAAUGCCUUCUUCAAGACCAAGCCGUGAACCUGUGUUCAUACUUAGGUAGGAAGACCACUGAAGGCCAUUUCCCAGACUGGGAAGUUUCAAGCAAACUUCAUUUCAGGGAUGUUAUAAUUGAGAGAGUUAUCGCUUUCAUUCUGUUUUCAAUAAUAUAGAGUGUACUCAAGCAAGUGAUGAAGAAGUCACUGUUUUUAAAGAUUAAACUAUUGAGCCUAUGUCAGUGCAGCUAUUUUAUUAUCUGGUAAAUACAAGAGCAGGUGUGUCUGGUCUGUGCAUAUCAUUUAUUUGAGUUUCCCUGUCCUCACGUUCCGGAAGUAAAUGCCCAUAAAGUCAAAGGGAGAGGGCUUCCCUGGUGGCGCAGUGGUUAAGAAUCCACCUGCCAACGCAGAGGACACGGGUUUGAUCCCUGGUCCGGGAAGAUCCCACGUGCCACGGAGCAACUAAGCCCGUGCGCCACAGCUGCUGAGCCUGCGCUCUAGAGCCUGUGAGCCACAGCUACUGAGCCCAACUACCGAACCCCACGUACCUAGAGCCCGUGCUCUGCAACAAGAGAAGCCACUGCAAUGAGAAGCCCACGUGCCACAAGGAAGAGUAGCCCCGCUCGCCGCAACUAGAGAAAGCCCGCGUGCAACAACGAAGACCCAACACAGCCAGAAAUAAAAUAAAUUUUUAAAAUUAAUUAACUUUAAAAAAAUGUUAAAGGGAGAAAGCUCAGAAGGAUGCAGGAGGCAGACCAGGCCAGGUGGUGCUGCCGCACAGUUGGGGUGAGCUGUGGCCGCUGGCCUUGGAGUCUGGGCACCCCAGACUCCCCAGUCUGAGUUUCCACUGCUGCGUGGCCUCCACGUAUUUCUGCCACAGGACCUCAGGCCUGGCAUGUGAACCUGCGCUCACCUUUUCUGCCUCCGCAGCAUUGGGCUCUGCCUGGCUGACAGGAUGGAUUAGUUCCUCCUGGGGUCUGGGGUGGUGAUUUCUCCCCUGUGCUCCCAAGGGGAGGGGAGCUUCCACUCUUGGUUUACUACAGAGGAGGGUAAACCAGGAGAGACUGUCAUCGUGGGCCCAAGGAUGCUGUGGGGUUGUCAUGCCCCACCCUCUACUUGGGCUCCACCACACACAGCCCCUGACCAGACUGGAAGCAGGACCACGGCAGGCCCGGCUUACCCAGCAAUACCCUGGCCCUCCCUUCCUCCACUCUGCAGGCCCUGAGGCCCAGGACCUCCUGCCUGGGGGAGGGUGGCACACGCACUAAGAAUUACAGAACCGUGCAUGGGUAAAAGGUGUGUUUAAGCUCAGGACAGACCAUUCAACCCGUGGAAGAGUAUGAAAGGUUUAUUGAUAUGGUUUCAGAUUCACAGUGCAGCCAACCUUUAAGAAACUACCCCUCAUCUAGCUUUGGUUUAGUAUUAAAGACCAAGCUAUUGAAAUAGUUUCUUUUUCCAACCAUAUAUCUGUGUGUGGCUAGAUUUUUUUCUCAUAUGCUUCAACCAUUCUCACUAAUUCUUUUCUUUUUUAAGGAAACCUCACUUUUUCAUUUUAAAAUGUUAACAUGUAAUGGGUGUAUCAUUUUUUAGUGAAUUACUGUUUUUUUUAAUAAAUUUAUUUAUUUUAUUUAUUUUUGGCUGCGUUGGGUCUUCAUUGCCACGCGCGGGCUUUUCUCUAGUUGCAGAGAGCGGGGGCUUCUCAUUGUCGUGGCUUCUCUUGUUGCGGAGCAUGGGCUCUAGGCGCACAGGCUCAGUAGUUGUGGCGCACAGGCUUAGUUGCUCCGCGGCAUGUGGGAUCUUCCUGGACAAGGGCUCGAACCCGUGUCCCCUGCAUUGGCAGGCGGAUUCUUAACCACUGCGCCUCCAGGGAAGCCCCUGAAUUACUGAUUUUUUAAAGUAUGUAUUUGGCCGUGCCGGGUCUUAGUUGCAGCAUGCAGGAUCCAGUUCCCUGACCGGGGGUCGAACCCGGGCCCCCUGCAUUGGGGGCGUAGAGUGUUAACCACUGGACCACCAAGGAAGUCCCUGAAUUACUGGCGGGUUUUUUGUUUGUUUUAAUUUUUGGCCGCGCCACAUGGCUUGCGGGAUCUUAGUUCCCUGACCAGGGAUCGAACCUGCGCCCUCAGCAGUGAAAGUGCGGAGUCCUAACCACUGGACUACCAGGGAAUUCCCUGAAUUACUGUUUUUUUAAUUUCUGCGUUUUAAUUCCCAGUGUGGUCCCUGUCGACCCGAAUAGCCCACAUAAACAGAGCUCUUUGGGGGUCCUCCAUAAACUUUAAAAUUAUAAGAGGUCCCUGAAUCCAUAAAGUUGGGGAAGUUUUCUCAGAAAUCCUAGUACAUCCAUGAAAUAGAUGAUUGUCCAACGCUUGAAGCGAUGUUUGUGAGGACGUAGGGCAAGUGCGAACACAUCACUGUGCGCGUCUCAGGGGUCUGAACUCGGGCUCACUUCAGCACCUCUUGAGGGGUAGGUCCUCUCCAGGGGAAGGAGUUUGGUGGAUCAGGAUUUUUGUCUUUAUACUGUGUAGUCUGCAGUGAGCAUGUAUUAUGUUUGUAACCAGAAAAAAUGUUAACGUCGUAAGAUAAUGCCUACUCUGUUUUCCUCAUAGUGGACCUGGUGAAGGUUAAAAACUUUUUUUUUUUUUUUUUUGCGGUACGUGGGCCUCUCACUGUCGUGGCCUCUCCCGUUGCGGAGCACAGGCUCCGGAUGCGCAGGCUCAGUGCCCAUGGCUCACGGGCCCAGCCGCUCCGCGGCAUGUGGGAUCUUCCCGGACCGGGGCACGAACCCGCAUCCCCUGCAUUGGCAGGCGGACUCUCAACCACUGCGCCACCAGGGAAGCCCGGUUAAAAACAUUUUAACGUGCUUUAAAAAAUCAUAAACUACCAUAUGUAACAUAAGGUUGUAUUGACUAACAUGCAUUUUCUCACAGGGCAGGGCCUGGGUGUUCAAAUCCAUCACUGUUCUCUGGAGUGAGACACACAGAUGUAAUAAGCACUCGCUAAACUCACGUUGAAUACACAAAUUAGUGCAUGGAUGUUUUAAAGUUACGAAUUAUGUACCUACAGCUGCUGCCUGGGAUUGACUUGUGUCCUCCAGAGAUGUGGUGACAUCACAAGUCCCAGGACCUCAGAAUGAGCCCUUAUUUGGAACUAGGGUUGUUGCAGGUAUAAUUAGUGAAAUAACGAGGUCGUGUUGGAUUGGGGAUCCCUAAUCCAGUGACUGGUGUCCCAUAGGGACAGACACACAGAGGGAGAGGCAGAGACACAUGUGCUGCGUCCACAAGCCAAGGAUAGCCGGUGUCCAGCAGAGCCCAGGCUCAAGUUCCCAAUACCUGGGGAGGCCCCCACUGCGUGGAGGCUGGCACUGCUCAUCACAGCGCCAGCCGCCUGCAGGGGAUAGAAGUCCAAACACUUCGUUCCUGGCAUCCUGACAUCCAGGUCGCCAAGGAGCGCGCGAGGCAGCUGAGCACCGACAGGACAAGCUUUACUCAGGAGAGAAGAGACCAGGUCGGCUUCCGCCGUGGGCCUCGUCCCCACGCGGGGUCCUCCCCACCCUGCUGGCCUGCACGCACCCAUCUUGUGCUGCAGGAAGGACCUGACCCCUCCUGAGGAGUCUGACAUGCUGAGCGCUGGGGGUGCGUCCAUCUCAUAACCGGAGGGAGGUCCCCACACAGGCUCUAGGGGCCCCCAUCUAUUGAGAAGAAACGGUGCCGUUUGUAAGUGGCCCUUUGUGGGCGGAGAGACGGCCUUUCCCCGCAGCUGAAGCUGGGAGGGCUGGUCCUGGUCCUCCCCUCCCCUCCAGUCCCGACAGACGUGGCCUGGCAGCACCUGACUUCCAGCUGAAAGGAGACACCUCUGUGGUUUCAAGGCCCCCAGUUUGUUGCACACGUUACAGUCGAGAAAACUAAUACAACUGCCAAAGAGCCCAAUAAUUUUUCCUCAGCAGCAAGAGAAGCAGCUGCAGUUCGUACCGUCCCUUCUACUCAGCCACACCCGAGCUCGGCUCGGCAAAGACGUGUGAGGGGCUGGAGGGAGGCCCCGCUGCGACAGGCGUCUGUCUGUGCUCCCACCUUGCCUGCCUCGCUGGACACCACUGCUGCCCCCAGGCACCGAGCCAGCACCCACUGUGUCCAGAACUCAUAGGGUCAUCAAGGCAGAGUGUCUGAGGUUUUGAUACCUGUCCCCAGAGUCUGUGACAUUCCUCCUUUCCAAAGGUGGGGCCUCACCCACCCCACCCCCGCCUUGAGGGUAGGCUGUUCUUAAUGACUCACUUCUGCUUCCGUGACUAGUUCACCCCCACGUGAGCCAGCCGACUUGGAAGAGGGUACUCCAAGCCCACGCAGCCUCCAGACAACCUCCACUGAUGUCCUGACUGCAGCCUCCUGAGAGGCUCUGUGCCAGAACCACCCAGCUCCUGGAGUCCUGACUCAACAGAAACGAUGUUUGUUGUUUUCAGCCACUGCUUGGACUCACUUGUUACACAGCACUAGGUAACGAAUACAGCUCUGACUGGCUUCCCAGGAGUCCCCCGUUUGUUUGCUGCUCUUUGUUAAGGAGAAGCGUGAUUGCUUUUCUGCAAAGGAUUCCCCAUCAUCUCCCAACCUCAGAGGCUCCAUAUGGUGACUGUCCCUCAGUGCCUUACCAGGGCCGCCUAAGAGAUUUCUGAUGUCUCCACCUUACUGGAGGCUGUGUGUCCUGGGUUCUGACUUUCCCACCUCUCCCUGGACAGGGGAAGGUGGGGAGAUGGUCCCCAUGUUGGGGCCAGAUCUGUCUGUGAACCGUCAGCUGCCCAACGGGGUCCACAGAGUGAUGGGACACACCCUGGGAUUCUAGGACCACCCCCCAUCCAAGCAAGACCCACAGCCGUGGUGAGAAGGGCAGGCCCCAGACCUCAGACCCUGAUCUUCCUCUGCAGCGGCAAGCUGAGAGCCCGGCCCACAGGAGGGCGCAGCCCUGGGGGAGCUGGGGCGGCCCCACCUGCAGCGGAGGUCCCAGCCUCCCCCCUCCCACCCCCACUGUCUCCUGGGGCUCCGGAGGGGAAAGUGGGCUUGCGUGCUGUUUAUAUGCUCUUUUCUUAAAAUCGCCAUCGUCAUGAGAACUGUUCGCAGUUGUGGUGAUGACACACAAGGGUGGGGUUUCCAGGGGGACGCUUGCACAGGCAGUGGCCUCGCAGCUCAUCUGACCCCACAGAUGCAGGACACACGCUGGGAGAGUUCAACCGUUUCUUAAACACACGCAUUUGUUUAAAUUGUUCAUUUGAUUUAAUUUUUGAGUUCACUUUUACUACGUGGAUGAGAUGGGCUGUAUUACACUAGGGCUUCCGCUAUGAAAGAGCUGCCACCGCUCAGAGAAAUCCAACCCUCAGGCCCUUUCCGCUCCCCUUUCUGAGUCCCACAGAAGCCACCGGUGGGCACUGCUGGGUUCCAGUCCUGGCUUGUCACUCCCUUGGGGGCUGUCUCAGUGGGGACAGGGAUGGGGGGCACAGGUCCCAACUUCCCCAGAAGCCCACUGCAAUGGAUCAGUACCCACCCGUGCUCCCUGGCUUGGCUCUGGGAGGUCACCAGCAGUGUCCCCAUAGGUUUCUGUAGAAUGAAAGCCAGGGGCACUGAGGGCUGCAAUCAUCUGGUUUCUGAGGCACUGGCUCUGGGUCCUUCCUGCAAGAAACACCUCAGGCUUUCCACCAAGAGGCUGGCCAGCGAGGACUCGGACCCCAGCACCCAGUCGUGGAGCUGGGCUGCCAGGGAGAAGAGGAGGCUGCUGCUGUGUCCAAGCAGGUAGCCGUCCUCAAAGGCUGGCGCUGGGGGGUCUGGAGGUCCCCCCAGACUGAGGGAGGGGGAGGAGGCCAGCCGAGCAGGGUCUUGGCAGGAGAUAGAGCCAGGCCUCCAACCUGCAGGCUGGCCAGAGUGGGCCACCAGCCAGGAAUGGAAGGACGGAGGAGGUGGCUUGGGAACCCUGUCCCCUGCCCCCCGACAUCUGAAUCUUCAGGCACUGGUCCCC